UAACACGGCCAUACCACCCUGAACGCUCCCGAUCUCGUCUGAUCUCGGAAGCUAAGCAGGGUCAGACCGGGUUAGUACUUGGAUGGAAAGGAGAAGAAUUCGUAUCUGAA
This 110-nucleotide ribosomal RNA is filed under the name Neogale vison (American mink). Lineage: Eukaryota; Metazoa; Chordata; Mammalia; Carnivora; Mustelidae. The record is from RNAcentral.